RNAcentral lists this ribosomal RNA (1372 nucleotides) under metagenome. RNAcentral describes it as "bacterial SSU rRNA". It matches the Rfam family "Bacterial small subunit ribosomal RNA", at positions 83 to 1433 of the family's 1533-position model. The record is from RNAcentral.
CGGGCAAGUAAAGUGGCGUACGGGUGAGUAACACGUAGAUAAUCUACCUUUAAGUUUGGAAUAACCUGCCGAAAGGCGGGCUAAUACUGGAUAAUUCGAGAAUAACGUAAGGUUUUUUUCGUGAAAGGGAGCUCGCAAGGGCCCUCGCUUAAAGAUGAGUCUGCGUCUCAUUAGCUAGUUGGUGAGGUAAUGGCUCACCAAGGCUUUGAUGAGUAGCUGGUCUUAGAGGAUGAUCAGCCACACUGGGACUGAAACACGGCCCAGACUCCUACGGGAGGCAGCAGUGGGGAAUAUUGCGCAAUGGACGAAAGUCUGACGCAGCAACGCCGCGUGAGUGAAGAAGGCCUUCGGGUUGUAAAGCUCUGUCUAGUGGGACGAAAAAGCUAUCAGUUAACAGCCGAUAGAAUUGACGGUACCACUGAAGGAAGCACCGGCUAACUCCGUGCCAGCAGCCGCGGUAAUACGGAGGGUGCAAGCGUUGCUCGGAAUUAUUGGGCGUAAAGGGUAGGUAGGUGGUCUCAUUUGUCUGGGGUGAAAUCCCUGAGCUCAACUCAGGAACUGCCUUAGAAACGGUGAGACUAGAGUCCUGGAGAGGGUCGUGGAAUUUCCGGUGUAGCGGUGAAAUGCGUAGAGAUCGGGAGGAACAUCAGUGGCGAAGGCGGCGACCUGGACAGUUACUGACACUCAACUACGAAAGCAUGGGGAGCAAACAGGAUUAGAUACCCUGGUAGUCCAUGCUGUAAACGAUGGAUACUAGGUUUCGCGGGAUUUGACCCCUGCGGAGCCGGAGCUAACGCGUUAAGUAUCCCGCCUGGGGAGUACGGUCGCAAGACUAAAACUCAAAGGAAUUGACGGGGGCCCGCACAAGCGGUGGAUUAUGUGGUUUAAUUCGAAGCAACGCGAAGAACCUUACCUGGGCUUGACAUCCUUGGACCGCUGUAGAGAUACAGUUUUUGUAGCAAUACAACCAAGAGACAGGUGCUGCAUGGCUGUCGUCAGCUCGUGUGGUGACAUGUUGGGUUAAGUCUCGCAACGAGCGCAACCCCUGUCUUUAGUUGCCAGCAUUAAGUUGGGCACUCUAAAGAGACUGCCGUGGUUAACACGGAGGAAGGUGGGGAUGACGUCAAGUCCUCAUGGCCCUUAUGCCCAGGGCUACACACGUAAUACAAUGGACAGUACAAAGGGAUGCAAAAGGGCAACCUUAAGCAAAUCUCAAAAAGCUGUUCUCAGUUCGGAUUGGAGUCUGCAAUUCGACUCCAAGAAGUUGGAAUCGCUAGUAAUCGCGGAUCAGCACGCCGCGGUGAAUACGUUCCCGGGCCUUGUACACACCGCCCGUCACACCAUGGAAGCCGAUUCAACCAGAAGAUAGUUA